CCCUGCCUUUUGUACACACCGCCCGUCGCUACUACCGAUUGAAUGGCUUAGUGAGGCCUUUGGAUCUGUCCUUUGGGCGCAAGCCUGUGGGAUGGAAAAAUUGGACAAACUUGGUCAUUUAGAGGAAGUAAAAGUCGUAACAAGGUUUCC
This 150-nucleotide ribosomal RNA is filed under the name uncultured eukaryote. RNAcentral's name for it is "partial small subunit ribosomal RNA". It matches the Rfam family "Eukaryotic small subunit ribosomal RNA", at positions 1651 to 1804 of the family's 1831-position model. The record is from RNAcentral.